UACGGGGGGGAGCAAGCGUUGUUCGGAUUUAUUGGGCGUAAAGAGCGUGUAGGCGGCCAGACAGGUCCGUUGUGAAAACUCGAGGCUCAACCUCGAGACGCCGAUGGAAACCGUCUGGCUAGAGUCCGGAAGAGGAGAGUGGAAUUCCUGGUGUAGCGGUGAAAUGCGCAGAUAUCAGGAGGAACACCGGUGGCGAAGGCGGGUCUCUGGGCCGAUACUGACGCUGAGGAGCGAAAGCGUGGGGAGCGAACAGG
RNAcentral lists this ribosomal RNA (254 nucleotides) under uncultured bacterium. Its description in RNAcentral is "partial 16S ribosomal RNA". It matches the Rfam family "Bacterial small subunit ribosomal RNA", at positions 524 to 776 of the family's 1533-position model. The record is from RNAcentral.